CCCAGCUGAACGUAAUUGCUAUCAGCAGCGGACAGCUCCUGGUGCUGAAAGAGAAAGGGCCAGAGCUUUGCUCACAAUGGCUCACUCAACAGCCUUUAAAAAUCACAGCAAAACUGAAUGAGGUGGCAAGUGCUCUGGCUGAAUAGCACUGUCUGCAGAACAAUGGCAGCCAACCCCAAAUCCUACUAUAAUCACAUUAAUGAGAUUAAUCAGUGAAUUAGCAGCAGUCAAACGUCAGGGAGGCAAGGAAGAAUCCAACCAAGUGGACCUGCUCUCAUGAAGGACCUCUCCACGGCCAUGUUGCAGCGGGCUGUGCGGGUGCAGCCCACCCCGCCCCCACCCCGGCGGACGCGUGGCUGCACGGAGGCUGUAGCAGCCUGCCUCAGGCUUCCACCUUGGCUCCCAGGGGGACAUCCUGCAAAAUGAAUCAGCAGCCGUCCUGAGCAGGCUGAUUAAAAUGAAAAUGGCAAGGCACAUGUCUGGGCGGAACUGGAGCUCAGCUCUGCUGCCUGUCUGGCAAGCAUGCUCAAUAUAGCUCUUGCUAAUAAUGGC
Bubalus bubalis (water buffalo) is the source of this 552-nucleotide long non-coding RNA. RefSeq lists it as uncharacterized. The transcript has 2 exons. NCBI's taxonomy places the organism in Eukaryota, Metazoa, Chordata, Mammalia, Artiodactyla, Bovidae. The record is from RefSeq and is a predicted model, not a curated record.